UCAAUCCUUUCCCUUUUUCUCUUUUUAAUAACUCGUUAUUUAGAGAUAGUGGUUGAGCAGUGAGAAGUGCACCGGAAGUGUACUUCGAGCGAAGGGGAAGCUACACGGAGCAUCUCUUUCUUACCCUUCGGGUGGUCACAGGGAAGCUCUCUAAUAGAUCACUUAAGACAAAGGGAAAAUAUAAUAUUUUUCCGUGUUCAGUUAAGUAAUGUCCCUUACGG
Molecule: long non-coding RNA, 221 nt
Filed under: Hordeum vulgare
Lineage: Eukaryota; Viridiplantae; Streptophyta; Magnoliopsida; Poales; Poaceae
Description: long non-coding RNA (HVUL_LNC013118)
Source: RNAcentral